UAAUACGGAGGGUGCAAGCGUUAUCCGGAUUUACUGGGUUUAAAGGGUGCGUAGGUGGGCAGUUAAGUCAGUGGUGAAAUCUCCGAGCUUAACUCGGAAACUGCCAUUGAUACUAUCUGUCUUGAAUUAUCUGGAGGUAAGCGGAAUAUGUCAUGUAGCGGUGAAAUGCUUAGAUAUGACAUAGAACACCAAUUGCGAAGGCAGCUUACUACGGAUUUAUUGACACUGAGGCACGAAAGCGUGGGGAUCAAACAGGAUUAGAUACCCUGGUAGUCCACGCCCUAAACGAUGGAUACUCGACAUCAGCGAUACACUGUUGGUGUCUGAGCGAAAGCAUUAAGUAUCCCACCUGGGAAGUACGAUCGCAAGAUUG
This 373-nucleotide ribosomal RNA is filed under the name uncultured bacterium. Its description in RNAcentral is "bacterial SSU rRNA". It matches the Rfam family "Bacterial small subunit ribosomal RNA", at positions 521 to 896 of the family's 1533-position model. The record is from RNAcentral.